UUUGAUAAACAAAUGUUUCUGAUUUCGGGAAAUGUGGUAAAAGACAUGUUUAAGAUAAGGUUUUAUGGAUCGGUUCUUGAAGCUUGGGGUUACUUUAAGUCGGAGCGGAAAGAACAUUUUGGUUUUGAUGAACCACUUCUGCACAGUCCUUGGUUUUCUAAAAAAAUGCAUUAUAUCCAACACUGAAAUUUCUAACUUUGUUUUAGCUGGGAUAACUAAAGUUGGAAACCUGUUUGACUUGUCGAAUAGAGAAUGUUUUUCAGUACAGAAUCUAACUAGAAAAAUUACUGGUAGAUCAUAGAGAAUAGUCGGGAACAUAUUAAAGGAUUUGAAAACAUCUUUUCCUGCAUGUUUGUGGGAUAAUAUAUAACCAAAUUUAUGUCCGGUGGUAACACAAAGGUCUUUUUUUCCAGAAGUGUACAUAACUCCACAGGUAGCUCAAAUUAACAAUGGAGACAAUGUAAACAUGUUGUUAUCCUUUAAAGGCUUGCAAAGUCUUCCGUUUUCCAUGGUGAACAAACAAAAUGCAUAUAUUUCCUGUGUAAAGUCCGACUUUGUCAGACAUCUAAGGGGGAGGAGGCAUACAAAAUGGAGGACUCAUUUCUUGAAGUCGGGAGAUAAUGAACCUUCAUGGCGGUUAUUGUAUAAGAACUUUCUACCAAAAAAAGUCUGGUGACAUACAGUGGCAGAUUUUACAUUGUGCAUUACCAACAAAAGUGUUUUUGUUUAAAUGUAAAUAUGCACCGUCUCCACUGUGUACUUUGUGUGAUGAACUCGAUACUGUGUUUCAUGUCUUUUGUGAAUGUUGUAAACUAUCUCCGCUCUUUAAUCUAUUGUAUACAAUGUUUCGUAGUUUGGGGAUCAUUUUCUUGAAAACAGGGUUUAUUUAUGGGGGUAGAUAUUCUCGCCACAGGCAGGAAAUCUGUACCUAUUCGAAUUUUUUGGUCGGUCAAGCAAAAUUAGCCGUUUGGAAGGCUGACAAAAUGGGAUCAGAAGGGAAAGAAGUAAACAUGGUUAAAUUAUUUAAGGCCUUGGUUGAGUCUAGGAUUAGAUUAAAGUAUGAAUUUUACCAAAUGAAUGGUGAUCUUCCGAUGUUUGAGAAGAAAUGGUGUGUAAACAAAGGGGUGACUUAUAAGAGGCGAGAAUCUCUUUUUCAAUUGGUAAUGGUUGUUAAAACAAUGUGUUCUGUAUGUUAAGGUUUUUUAAUUGUAGAAUAAAUUAUAUUUUAAAAGUCAAAGUCUCUCUCUCUCUCCCCCUGCAGAUGUGUUGUUAUCUCUAGCAUCCCUGCUGGUGCCUCUGCAAAUUACACCUGCAACAUGAGGGGUCGUUAUGUGAACAUCAUCAUUCCCAAUGUUAUCCAGGCUCUCACGCUCUGUGAAGUGGAAGUCUAUGGGGUUCCAGGCUACACUUUUAUAUCCAGUUCACAAUUUCAUAUACAUUUGAAGUCAAAUUAAGUUUUACAACAGCUACUAAAUAUCAACAUUGCUAAUUUUUUUUAGUGCCUGUUACUAAGAGGGCAUUUCUGAGAUUGAAGUUUAACAUCAGUGAGUAUCUUAUGAACCCUACUGUGAGGGACAAAAUUAUUCAAAAGGUUUGUGUUCAUGACAUGUAUGGUAGAUUCAUAAAUAAAUAAAUAAAUAAUACUAAUUUUUCAUCAUAGACGAUAUCUACCAAUGCCCAGCCUUCAGUGCGUCAGAUCUGUUGGACUACAGAACCAGAGGUGGAAAAUGAAACUUAAAAAACGGUGGCAGAAAUAUAUCUGAAACAACAAGAAGAAGAAGCGGAAGAAGAAGAAGAAGUGUUCAAAGAACAAAAAGAAAGAAAAAACAUCAAAUGUGUGAGGUUUGGGUUUAGCACUUGAAAAUGCUAGCUAACUGAUGUUAUAGGUUUAUUAAUUAGAAGUACUAGAAGUUUUUUAGUUUGUUUGUUUGGGAAAUGUAUCCAUGAAAAAUUAUUACCACAGGGUUUGUACAAGGUGCUUGAAUUUGGCAUUUGGAAAUUUAAGUACUGGAAAACCUUGAAAAUAGCCAAUAUUUUUUUUAAUGUUAAAAAAGUGGUUAAAAAGUGCUUGAAUGAUAAAACAUCAAUAAAUAAAAAAUAACAAUCACUUUAAAGGGUUUAUUUUCAAAAGAACACGAAUACAAUCCUUUCACUCAAAAUAUGACUCCCCGCUGCAGCCCCUCCUCCUCCUGCCGUUCACUCAUUCAUUUUAACAGGGACAGCUUCGGUCCACUUCUCAGACCCCUUUAGCAACUUUUUUUUUUUUUUUUUUUUAAAGCAUCUAGCGACAUAUCUAGCGACUUUUUGGACAAACCUUAGCUACUUUCCAUAGAAGAUAAUGGCCAGUACUGCGCGGCGAGUGCGAGGUCCUGCUUUCAGAAACAGAAAAAAUGUCCAGAAUGUCUCUGAAACACUUCAGCCUAUGAUUAGCCCUGGAUUCCUGGGAGGACACUGUAGCAGUCUCUGAGGAUUUCUUCUCAUCACUCCACUGUAAAAACAAACAAACAAAACAAACAAACAAAAAAAAAAACAAA
This is a long non-coding RNA of Ictalurus punctatus (channel catfish), 2534 nucleotides long. RefSeq lists it as uncharacterized. The transcript is spliced from 2 exons. Lineage: Eukaryota; Metazoa; Chordata; Actinopteri; Siluriformes; Ictaluridae. The record is from RefSeq and is a predicted model, not a curated record.